CUACGGGUCGCAGCAGUCGAGAAGCUUCGGCAAUGGACGAAAGUCUGACCGAGCGACGCCGCGUGAGCGAUGAAGGCCCCAGUGGUCGUAAAGCUCUGUCAGGAGGGAAUAAAUACCUGCGGCGAAUAACCGCAGGGGCUGAAGGUACCUCCAGAGGAAGCGCCGGCUAACUACGUGCCAGCAGCCGCGGUAAUACGUAGGGCGCAAACGUUGUUCGGAUUUACUGGGUAUAAAGGGUUCGUAGGCGGGCUGGUAAGUCAGAGGUGAAAGCCAACGGCUCAACCGUUGAAUUGCCUCUGAUACUGUCAGCCUUGAGUCCGUUAGGGGAUGGUGGAAUUCCUGGUGUAGCGGUGAAAUGCGUAAAUAUCAGGAGGAACACCGGUGGCGAAGGCGGCCAUCUGGGACGGUACUGACGCUGAGGAACGAAAGCAUGGGUGUCAAACGGGAUUAGAUACCCGGGUAGUC
Molecule: ribosomal RNA, 465 nt
Filed under: uncultured bacterium
Lineage: Bacteria
Description: partial 16S ribosomal RNA
Rfam family: Bacterial small subunit ribosomal RNA
Source: RNAcentral